This 253-nucleotide ribosomal RNA is filed under the name uncultured bacterium. RNAcentral's name for it is "partial 16S ribosomal RNA". It matches the Rfam family "Bacterial small subunit ribosomal RNA", at positions 524 to 776 of the family's 1533-position model. The record is from RNAcentral.
UACGUAGGGUGCGAGCGUUGUCCGGAAUUACUGGGCGUAAAGCGCUCGUAGGUGGUUUGUCGCGUUGUUCGUGAAAACUCACAGCUUAACUGUGGGCGUGCGGGCGAUACGGGCAGACUGGAGUACUGCAGGGGAGACUGGAAUUCCUGGUGUAGCGGUGAAAUGCGCAGAUAUCAGGAGGAACACCGGUGGCGAAGGCGGGUCUCUGGGCCGAUACUGACGCUGAGGAGCGAAAGCGUGGGGAGCAAACAGG